AACUUGCCCCUUCACUCGAUAUGGGAAAACUUCUUCAGCCUGGUCACAGGAACAACUGACAGAUUAAUAUCUUUAUCUUACUUGUGUGGGUUUGGUACAUGGUUCUUCUUAGCAGGUGGAAAGACCUGUCUGAUAAAACCCAAAGUUCUAGGUUACUAGAUGUUGCAGUCCUUUGAGUUAGACAGUCUUCUUAAAGGGACAAAUGACGGUUUAGCAACAUCAGACAGAACAAUAAAUGGUAAGCGAUGCCCUUAAAUGUCUGGGGCUGCAUCUGAAUUAAACAGUAGGAAUUAGUGAGUGCUUUCAUUGUUAGGCAGGAGUAGAUAAUCAUUGAAUUUCCUUCAUGAUGGAGAAAGAAGCCUGUAAAAUUUCCCCCUUGAAUGAG
This 385-nucleotide non-coding RNA is filed under the name Stegodyphus mimosarum. RNAcentral's name for it is "eukaryotic small subunit ribosomal RNA". It matches the Rfam family "Eukaryotic small subunit ribosomal RNA", at positions 1180 to 1607 of the family's 1831-position model. The record is from Rfam by way of RNAcentral. Lineage: Eukaryota; Metazoa; Arthropoda; Arachnida; Araneae; Eresidae.